Molecule: unclassified non-coding RNA, 241 nt
Filed under: uncultured fungus
Lineage: Eukaryota; Fungi
Description: sequence contains ITS2
Rfam family: 5.8S ribosomal RNA (bases 1-52)
Source: RNAcentral
AACGCACAUUGCGCCCCUUGGUAUUCCGAGGGGCAUGCCUGUUCGAGCGUCAUUACAACCCUCAAGCAAUUGCUUGGUAUUGGGCUCCGCUGCUCACCCAGCGGGCCUUAAAAUCAGUGGCGGUGCCGUCAGGCCCUGAGCGUAGUAAACAUCCUCGCUAUAGGGACCUGGUGGACCUGGCCAGCAACCCCCAUUUUCUAAGUUUGACCUCGGAUCAGGUAGGGAUACCCGCUGAACUUAA